UACGUAGGUCCCGAGCGUUGUCCGGAUUUAUUGGGCGUAAAGCGAGCGCAGGUGGUUUAUUAAGUCUGGUGUAAAAGGCAGUGGCUCAACCAUUGUAUGCAUUGGAAACUGGUAGACUUGAGUGCAGGAGAGGAGAGUGGAAUUCCAUGUGUAGCGGUGAAAUGCAUAGAUAUAUGGAGGAACACCGGUGGCGAAAGCGGCUCUCUGGCCUGUAACUGACACUAAGGCUCGAAAGCGUGGGGAGCAAACAGG
Molecule: ribosomal RNA, 252 nt
Filed under: uncultured bacterium
Lineage: Bacteria
Description: partial 16S ribosomal RNA
Rfam family: Bacterial small subunit ribosomal RNA
Source: RNAcentral